GACCUCGCGCGCUUGGGAGAGCCUGCGAGGUGACGACAGGUCCGAAGUUUAAGGUUUGGGAGAACCUGACGCAUCGGAUCGCCUCACAGGGGAGAACCGCCGAUGCAGAAUACGCUUCUGGUCGGACUAUCGAAGCAGGUGGUGCUGG
RNAcentral lists this non-coding RNA (148 nucleotides) under Bradyrhizobium ivorense. RNAcentral's name for it is "Bradyrhizobium sp. CI-1B flg-Rhizobiales". It matches the Rfam family "flg-Rhizobiales RNA". Lineage: Bacteria; Pseudomonadati; Pseudomonadota; Alphaproteobacteria; Hyphomicrobiales; Nitrobacteraceae. The record is from RNAcentral.